CGAAGGGUGCAAGCGUUACUCGGAAUUACUGGGCGUAAAGCGUGCGUAGGUGGUUGUUUAAGUCUGUCGUGAAAGCCCUGGGCGUCAACCUGGGAAGUUGCGAUGGAAACUGGGCGACUAGAGUGUGGCAGAGGAUAGUGGAAUUCCUGGUGUAGCAGUGAAAUGCGUAGAGAUCAGGAGGAACAUCCGUGGCGAAGGCGACUGUCUGGGCCAACACUGACACUGAGGCACGAAAGCGUGGGAGCAAACAGGAUU
This 255-nucleotide ribosomal RNA is filed under the name uncultured bacterium. Its description in RNAcentral is "partial 16S ribosomal RNA". It matches the Rfam family "Bacterial small subunit ribosomal RNA", at positions 526 to 779 of the family's 1533-position model. The record is from RNAcentral.